This 207-nucleotide ribosomal RNA is filed under the name uncultured bacterium. Its description in RNAcentral is "partial 16S ribosomal RNA". It matches the Rfam family "Bacterial small subunit ribosomal RNA", at positions 568 to 774 of the family's 1533-position model. The record is from RNAcentral.
UCCGUAGGCGGUUUUGUAAGUCAGUGGUGAAAGCCCAUCGCUCAACGGUGGAACGGCCAUUGAUACUGCAAGACUUGAAUUAUUGGGAAGUAACUAGAAUACGUAGUGUAGCGGUGAAAUGCUUAGAGAUUACAUGGAAUACCAAUUGCGAAGGCAGGUUACUACCAAUAUAUUGACGCUGAUGGACGAAAGCGUGGGGAGCGAACA